GAAUAAAGGUUUGCUCUUGUGGUACUGAACGCUGACGGUACUUUGAACGGACCACGGCUGGUGGCAACAUCAGCUGAUUCGAGGUUUAGUCCGUGGCGGAUUAGUAGCUUCACGGCGAACGUCUAAAGCGGACUGAGUCUCUGGGAAGGGAGAGGUAUCGUAUGUCCUGCAUGCUGCGGUGUGUAGGACGCAUGGCGUUCAAUUAAGUGCCGGUCAAGAACAGAUUGAGUCUCGGGGAAUCCGACUGUUUAAUUAAAACAAAGCAAAGAGACAAACUCAGAGAGUUUUUUUCCUCUUUGUGAUUUCUGCCCAGUGCCUUGAAUGUCAAAGCGAAGAGAUUCGAGUAAGCACAGGUUAACGGCGGAAGUAACUAUGACUUUCUUAAGGUAGCCAAAUGCCUCGUCAUUUAAUUUGUGACGCGCAUGAAUGGAUCAAUGAGAUUCCUACUGUCCCUACUCGCGAUCUAGCGAACCUACAGCUAAGGGAACGGGCUUAGGUGUAAUUGCGGGGAAAGAAGACCCUGUUGAGCUUGACUCUAGUCUGAUUUUGUGAAGUAACGUAAAGGACAUAGUGUAGGAGGGAGCUUCGGUGCCAAUGAAACACCUCUACCUUUAAUUGUUACUUCACUCACUUUAUUAACACACAACCCUCUUCGGAGGGUUUUCUAGAUGAAACCUUGGACUUCGGUUCGAGGGAGUGUUUAGAUACUGGACAUAAUCAGCUGGGGAGUUUGGCUGGGGCGGCACAUUU
Molecule: ribosomal RNA, 750 nt
Filed under: uncultured metazoan
Lineage: Eukaryota; Metazoa
Description: eukaryotic LSU rRNA
Rfam family: Eukaryotic large subunit ribosomal RNA
Source: RNAcentral